Molecule: transfer RNA, 75 nt
Filed under: Dolosigranulum pigrum
Lineage: Bacteria; Bacillati; Bacillota; Bacilli; Lactobacillales; Carnobacteriaceae
Description: tRNA-Ala(tgc)
Rfam family: tRNA
About the family: Transfer RNA (tRNA) molecules are approximately 80 nucleotides in length. Their secondary structure includes four short double-helical elements and three loops (D, anti-codon, and T loops). Further hydrogen bonds mediate the characteristic L-shaped molecular structure. tRNAs have two regions of fundamental functional importance: the anti-codon, which is responsible for specific mRNA codon recognition, and the 3' end, to which the tRNAs corresponding amino acid is attached (by aminoacyl-tRNA synthetases). tRNAs cope with the degeneracy of the genetic code in two manners: having more than one tRNA (with a specific anti-codon) for a particular amino acid; and 'wobble' base-pairing, i.e. permitting non-standard base-pairing at the 3rd anti-codon position.
Source: RNAcentral
UGGGGGUAUAGCUCAGCUGGGAGAGCGCCUGCUUUGCACGCAGGAGGUCAGCGGUUCGAUCCCGCUUAUCUCCAU